CCUACGGGGUGCAGCAGUGGGGGAUAUUGCACAAUGGGGGCAACCCUGAUGCAGCGACGCCGCGUGAUCGAUGGAGUACUUCGGUAUGUAAAGCUCUGUCAGCAGGGAAGAGAAUGACGGUACCUGACCAAGAAGCCCCGGCUAAAUACGUGCCAGCAGCCGCGGUAAUACGUAUGGGGCAAGCGUUAUCCGGAUUUACUGGGUGUAAAGGGAGCGUAGACGGUGCAGCAAGUCUGAUGUGAAAGGUCGGGGCCCAACCCCGGGACUGCAUUGGAAACUGUUGAACUGGAGUACAGGAGAGGUAAGCGGAAUGCCUAGUGUAGCGGUGAAAUGCGUAGAUAUUAGGAGGAACACCAGUGGCGAAGGCGGCUUACUGGACUGUAACUGACGUUGAGGCUCGAAAGCGUGGGGAGCAAACAGGAUUAGAUACCCGAGUAGUC
This 440-nucleotide ribosomal RNA is filed under the name uncultured bacterium. RNAcentral describes it as "partial 16S ribosomal RNA". It matches the Rfam family "Bacterial small subunit ribosomal RNA", at positions 338 to 795 of the family's 1533-position model. The record is from RNAcentral.